AACCAGCUUGGGCGGCGCUAUGUUUCGAAUCUGGUCAGGUCCUGGCGGAAGCAGCCAUAAGGAGCCGCUGGCGAGCGCCCAAGCUUUCUGAUUUCA
This 96-nucleotide signal recognition particle RNA is filed under the name Coriobacteriales bacterium. RNAcentral describes it as "signal recognition particle sRNA small type". It matches the Rfam family "Bacterial small signal recognition particle RNA". From Rfam's summary of the family: The signal recognition particle (SRP) is a universally conserved ribonucleoprotein involved in the co-translational targeting of proteins to membranes. Archaeal SRP consists of a 7S RNA and homologues of the eukaryotic SRP19 and SRP54 proteins. The record is from RNAcentral. Lineage: Bacteria; Bacillati; Actinomycetota; Coriobacteriia; Coriobacteriales.